RNAcentral lists this long non-coding RNA (972 nucleotides) under Lathyrus oleraceus (garden pea). RNAcentral describes it as "Pisum sativum (pea) long non-coding RNA (PSAT_LNC037395)". Lineage: Eukaryota; Viridiplantae; Streptophyta; Magnoliopsida; Fabales; Fabaceae. The record is from RNAcentral.
AACACAUAAUCCAAUUGAAAAAAGUUCUGGCCCAUUGAAACUAAACAUCCGCAUGAGAGAUGCCACAUGGCAACGGGAAUAAUGGAUCCAUACACAAAAGUGACUAAACACGUUUACCCAGCAAGAUUAAUUACUACUUUUAAACUUACCCUUUUCAUAUUCUCUGUUUAUUGAAUUGAAUGAAUUUAAAACAAACUUUAAUAAUACAUUGAACGUACCCUUUUGAAACGAAUGAAAACAAAUACUUUAUUUACUCGUAAAUUACUUUUUCUGUUCAUCAUCUCUCCCUUUUUCUAGAAAAAACGAUUUAAACCAAACCUUCUCUCUUUCUCUGCGAAAUCCAACACGACUAAAAAUAUGGGAACCAAAUGGUGUUCGUCUUCAUCAAGCCCAAAUUUUAGAAGCUAAAUAAUCCCCAAAGCAAAUUACUCAAACCCUAGCCGCAUAACAUUUUAAAAAAAAAAUCUCAACAUCAACCACAAUCAACUAUAAUUAGUCUGAAAUCCUAAAGCCUAGGAGAAAAAUAGGGGCUUCGGUGGUGAGAAGAUUGAUAUGAAAGGAAAUUCAGAGUGGCCUCGUUCGCAACUCCGGCGAGAUCCCGACGGUCGAAGAAAUACCUCAGGUAAAGGAUUGCGACUCUUACUCUUUAGCUCCAAGUCCUCGACUUCUUCUCCCCUUCUUCUUCAAAUUUUCGCCCUCUACUCGUCAAAGCGCUUUUUCUAAUGAACUGCGAUUUCGUCCAGGUUGAUUGAGCUUUGGUGUGUAGGUUGGGAUGUGAUUUCAGCAGGGUGACGGUGCCAGAAGGGAGAGGCCUUUCAAUGAAUGAGCGCUCCCUUUUAUAGAGUUUAAUACGAGGUUCAAUCCGCUCCUCCUUCAUGAGCUUGCAAAUCUUUGGAUGAAUCAAUCCGUUAGCCAAAAGAAUCUCGUCCAGAUUUGGUGGUCCUCCCUUUUGACGUGGUCCCCAAAAUGAAG